UGAGCAGGCUGCCUUAUCGCUGGUUGUUUAAUCAGAGGAAAGUCCGGACACCACAGAGUAGCAUAAUGGGUAACGCCCAUCCUUAACCUUAGUUAGGAGGACCAGUGCAACAGAAAGAAUGUACAGAUAAUGCUGUAGUGAAAUCAGGUAAACUCUAUGCGGUGAAAUGCCAUGUAUAUUUAGCAUUUGAGGGUUACUCGCCCGAAGCUUUAGGGGUAGGCAGAUUGAACUGUUGAGUAAUUAACAGUCUAGAUAAAUGAUAAGGGUGUACGCUUUUGUGCAUACAGAAUCCGGCUUAUAAGCCUGCUCUUAUU
RNAcentral lists this RNase P RNA (314 nucleotides) under Myroides indicus. RNAcentral describes it as "Bacterial RNase P class A". It matches the Rfam family "Bacterial RNase P class A". Rfam says of the family: Ribonuclease P (RNase P) is a ubiquitous endoribonuclease, found in archaea, bacteria and eukarya as well as chloroplasts and mitochondria. Its best characterised activity is the generation of mature 5'-ends of tRNAs by cleaving the 5'-leader elements of precursor-tRNAs. Lineage: Bacteria; Pseudomonadati; Bacteroidota; Flavobacteriia; Flavobacteriales; Flavobacteriaceae. The record is from Rfam by way of RNAcentral.